This 468-nucleotide ribosomal RNA is filed under the name uncultured bacterium. RNAcentral's name for it is "partial 16S ribosomal RNA". It matches the Rfam family "Bacterial small subunit ribosomal RNA", at positions 28 to 507 of the family's 1533-position model. The record is from RNAcentral.
GACGAACGCUGGCGGCGUGCUUAACACAUGCAAGUCGAACGGAAAGGCCCUGCUUUUGUGGGGUGCUCGAGUGGCGAACGGGUGAGUAACACGUGAGUAACCUGCCCUUGACUUUGGGAUAACUUCAGGAAACUGGGGCUAAUACCGGAUAGGAGCUCCUGCUGCAUGGUGGGGGGUGGAAAGUUUCGGCGGGUGGGGAUGGACUCGCGGCUUAUGAGCUUGUUGGUGGGGUAGUGGCUUACCAAGGCUUUGACGGGUAGCCGGCCUGAGAGGGUGACCGGCCACAUUGGGACUGAGAUACGGCCCAGACUCCUACGGGAGGCAGCAGUGGGGAAUAUUGCACAAUGGGCGGAAGCCUGAUGCAGCAACGCCGCGUGCGGGAUGACGGCCUUCGGGUUGUAAACCGCUUUCGCCUGUGACGAAGCGUGAGUGACGGUAAUGGGUAAAGAAGCACCGGCUAACUACGUG